Molecule: ribosomal RNA, 483 nt
Filed under: uncultured bacterium
Lineage: Bacteria
Description: partial 16S ribosomal RNA
Rfam family: Bacterial small subunit ribosomal RNA
Source: RNAcentral
UUGCACGCUGGCGGCAUGCUUUACCCAUGCAAGUCGAACGGCAGUGCGGGCUUCGGCCUGGCGGCGAGUGGCGAACGGGUGAGUAAUACAUCGGAACGUGCCCAGUAGUGGGGGAUAGCUCGGCGAAAGCCGGAUUAAUACCGCAUACGACCUGAGGGUGAAAGCGGGGGAUCUUCGGACCUCGCGCUAUUGGAGCGGCCGAUGGCAGAUUAGCUAGUUGGUGGGGUAAAGGCCUACCAAGGCGACGAUCUGUAGCUGGUCUGAGAGGACGACCAGCCACACUGGGACUGAGACACGGCCCAGACUCCUACGGGAGGCAGCAGUGGGGAAUUUUGGACAAUGGGCGAAAGCCUGAUCCAGCAAUGCCGCGUGUGUGAUGAAGGCCUUCGGGUUGUAAAGCACUUUUGGCGGGAACGAAAAGGACUGUGCCAAUACCACGGUUCGAUGACGGUACCCGCAGAAUAAGCACCGGCUAACUACGUG